AUUGAACUGGGUUUACUCAAUCACUGAGCCACAUCUUCAGCCCUAAUUUGUGUUUUAUUUAGAAAUAGGGUCUCACUGAGUUGCUUAGUGCCUUGUUUUUUUUUGCUGAGGCUGGCUUUGAACUUGCAAUCCUCCUGUCUCAGCCUCCAGAGCUGCUGGGAUUACAGGCGUGUGCCACUGCAUUGAGCUAGUCCAUUGCUUUUAAUUCGACAAAAUCUUAUCAAUAACUUCAGUAUUAUUAUUAUCACUUUAUAGCUGAAGCUGUUUUCACAGGUCCCCUGAAAAGUUAUGAAGCUUAUCUUCAUCUCCAGGUCUAUGUGAUGGUGGCUAAGCAUCCCAGCUUUCACUACCUCCGCAACCUGCCCUAAAAGCCAUUAUACUUCUCUUGAGUGAGGUGUCCAAAGUGAAGAGGAAAAGACCUGAGGAUUCCCUUGCCUCCAUCACAGUUUUGCCUAGGGCUUGAUCUACAGUUGUAGCUGCUUCUGGAUUUUCUGAUUUACCAAAUAUUGAAAGGUAAGGUUAAAGAUCAAUUAAUCUUUAAUCUAGCUGGGAAUGAGCAAAUUCAUAAACUUAGUGUUUCACAGCUCUUGGAAGCAGAGUCAUCUUCACCCUGAAGUUCUACUGGGUCUGGGUGAUAGGGGUAUUUGUGAUGAGAUCUGUACUAAUGCAAUAAGGAUUUUAAAAGUCCUGAGGGACACAUCCAGAUUGCUAUUGCUCCAUGAAAGUCUAAACUCUUGGCCUCAUUUCCUGGAGAUGUGUUACCUGCCCUUUCCUGAGAGGUGUUUUUUAAUCCUUGUCUCUCUUAUUUGUCUUAUUUUCUUCCCUGCUAUGUUUUUCUGCUAUAACUCAUCUUAAUGUAAACUAAAAUCUAUUUUAAUUUACAUAAUGAGUUAAGCUGUAUAUUUAUUGUCAUCAAUAUAAAAACAGGUAAGUAGGAAAUUUUAUAUCUUUCUUGUAAACAUAAGAUUUCUUAAAGAAACCAGGUAGCAAGUAACUGAUUUUUAUUUUUCUUCCUGUGUUUUAAUAACUCUUGAUUUUAAAAAAUGAAAGUUCUUUAGUCCUCUUUUAAGAUGUAAUUAGUCCUGAGUUGUUUUCUUCCUUUACUUCAUACCUGAGAAAAUUCAGAAGACCUAGGCAGAGACUAUUAGAAUCAGCUAAUUAAUCAUGAUAUUUGGAAUAAUUCUUAAAUAGAAUAUCUGAAAACAAAACUUCUAGAUGGCAGGAAAAUAUUAAAUAUUCAAACUUGAGGAGUCUAAAACUCCACUUGAUAGUUAAGACAAAAAAAUAGCCAUUAGACAAAUAUUUAGGAACAUGCCCUAUCCAAUUUUAUUACUAUCACUAAUAGUUCUCCUAUGAUUUAGCUUCUGAAUAGAAUUAGCUAAUAUGAGUUUUUCCCCAUUCAGAAUUCAGUACUGAGUUCUUUUAUUUUUGGAAUAAAAAGCCAAGAACAUUCAGACAUAUGUAAAUUUUACAUCUGAAUAUUUUGAAGUGUAUCCUGUUUAAAUUUUUAUUUAUUUUUAUUAUCUUGUUUUGCAAUGUUGGGGAUUGAAACAGUCCUCAUGCAUUGUAUCAUUUAAAAAUUUUUCAUUUUCAUUUAAAAUUUUAUUGUGUUAAAAACACCUAACAUGAGAUCUACUCCUUAACAGAUUUUUGAGUGUACAACUAUAGACAUAACACUGUAGAGCAGAUUUCUGAACUUAUUCAUCUUGCAUACAUUUUAAAUUUUAUAUCUGUUAAUUAACAACUUCCCAUUUCCUCUCCCUGUAAGCCCUGGCACCCGCUAUUCUAUUCUUUGCUUCUAGGAGUUUGACUAUUUUAGAUACCUCAUGUAAUUGAAAUCAUGCAGUUUGACUUUCUGUGGUGGGCUUAUUACAUUUAGCAUAAUGUUCUUGAAGUUCAUCUAUAUUGUCACAUAUGGCAGGAUUUCCUUCCUUUUAAGACUGAGUGAUAUGCCAUUGUAUGUAUACACCAUAUUUUAAAAAUCCAUUCAGUCACCAAUGGACAUUUAGUUUGUUUCUACAUCUUGGUUAUCAUGAACAGAGGCUGUAGUGAACAUGGGAAUGCUAAUAAGUCUUUGAGAUUCUGAUUUCAAUUCUUUUGGAUAAACACCCAGAAGUCAGAUUGUUGGAUCAUAUGGUAGUUCUACUUUUAAUUUUUUGAGGAACCUCCAUUCUAUUUUGUAUAGCAGCUGUACCAUAUUUCAGUCCCAUCGACAGUGUGCAAGGAUUCCAGUUUAUCCACAUUCUUGCAAAGACUUGUCUUUUUAAAAAACUAUACUAGUUAUCUUAACUGGUAUUCACCCAUUUGUUAAUUGAGUUAUUUAAUUGGGUUACUCAAUAACUCCAUUAAUAAAUAGAAACAAUAAAUGGGGCUGGGGUUGUGGCUCAGCAUAGAGCACUUGCCUGGUACGUGUGAGGCACUAGGUUCAUCCUCAGCACCACAUAAAAAUAAAUAAAUAAAAUAAAUAUUCAAACUUGAGGUCCAUCCACAACUAAAAAAUAUUAUUAAAAAGCAAUGAAUGGGUUCUUAGCUCAUCUAUUGAUUGGGUUGUGGUUUUAAUAUUGAAUUUCAGGAGUUCUAUUUUGAAAAUUGACUCCUUAUCAGAUCUAUGAAAAUAUUUUUUCUCAUUCUGUGGGUUGGCUUUUCACUGUAUUGUCUAUUUCUCUCUGCUUUUUAAUUUGAUGUAGUCCCACUUGUCUAGUUACACAUUUUCCCCCUGUGUUUUGGGUAUUAUAUACAAGAUUAUUGACAUCAUUGCCAAUAUCAAUAUCAGGAAGGUUUCCCCUAUGUUUUCUUCUAGGAGUUUUAAAAUGAAGCAUGUAAUCCAUUUUGAGAUGACUAAUGUUUAUGGUGUAAGAUAAGAGUCUAAUUUCACCAUUUUGUAUUGUUGUUUAUUCAGUUUUCUUAACACCAUUUGAUGAAAAGAUUAUCCUUUUCCCAUUAUGUAUUUAUGUAUUCCUGGCACCUUAGUUGAAGAUCAGUUGACCAUAUACAUAUGAAUUUAUUUCUGGGUUCUUUGUUCUGUUCUGUUGGUCUCUUUUUAUGGCAAUAUUUAAUUACUGUAUCCUUGUAACAUAUUUUGAUACUAGGAAUUGUGAUAGCUCUAGUUUAUUUUUCUCCAAGAUUAUCUUGGAUAUUUGAGGUCUUUUGUGUGUGAAUUUUAGAAUUUUUCUUUCUAUUUCUGUAAAAAAUGUCUUUGGAGGAGAAGAUCCAAGAUGGCUAUCUAGAGGGAAGAUGCAUUCCUUGUCGCUCUGUGACUCGGUGUCCAAACAGAAGAAAUACUGUUUCUCUGCAAGGCAGUGUUGCUGUCCAUUGAUCUCUUGCUGUUUACCCACCAUUUGUCUGCUGUGAUCACCCAUUGUGUACCAGUAUAUAGCCUGCCUUUUGAACACAGAUCCCUUGCUGACUGCUGCCUGUCAUCUGCCAUUUGCCUGCCUCUUGCCUGUCCAUCGCCUGCCACCUGAUGUCCACCGGUGGAUCACCUGAUGUUAGUCUGCAGACCACCCACAGACUGCCAGCAGAUUGCCCCCUGCCUACUGUCCCCUACUUUCUGGAAGACCAUUGUCACAGUACCCACAGGUUUGGUUACAAGCAGUCACCACCAUCUUGGAACAUCCACCAAGACCUGUUGGUUUGUUGCUGCACCGCCGCCAUCUUGGGGCACAGCCACCUCAGUCUGGGAACACCAGCCAGAGCUUAGAAAUAUAUUUUUGGGGUACCUGCAGCUCUGAUUGCACCUGAGGUCUUUCUUCUAGGUGUGCUAGUGGCUACUAUCUGGAUGUCUCUUUGCAGGGUCGCUCCUUUGUGUAAGUGCAUCCCUGGUGAUCUCUCUGUAAGCUGAAACAGCAUUGAGAUCUUGGGACUGCAGUAAGGCAGAGCAUGGAGAAUCUGAAGCCCAGGUCUAUCAGAUUGAAGCUGGGCUUGUGUGGGCAAGUCUGGGUCUAGCAAGCCCAUGGAACACCAGAGAUUAGAGGCAAUUCCCCAAAGGGAGCACAGGUUGGAGAAACUGGAAAAAACUGGGCUCUCUCCAGCUCAGUGAGUCCUAAAGUACAUGAGGAUGAAAGGGGUUGGCUACAAGUGGGAAGCCUGGAAAAGGGUAUGAAAACAUCUUGUUAUUGGCUCACCCACCCAACCAGUACAGCACCAACCAGACUGGAGCUUCCGUCAAACUUUAGACAACCCCACCUAUCAGCAGAGAAGAGCAGCUGAGAACAUUUUUUAAAGCCAAUGGAAGUUAUUGUUCAAUUUUCCAUUGAAGUAUUCCUUUUUUUUUUCUCUUUUUCCCUCUCUCUCUACCAUCUUUGAAUCCAAAUAUUUUUCUUGCUUCAAUUAUUGAGAAAAUGGUACAUCUGAAUAGUAUAUUACAGUUUUGUUGUAUAUCCUUAUAUUUUUACUUUUUUUCUUUUUUAAAUCUGUAUAUAUUUUUUCUGUCGCCUAUCUCUCUCAUUGGAUUCUCUUUCUCAAUUAUCUCAUACUAACAGCCAACCUCUAUUAAUUACUCCCUCGGUAUUACUAAACAUUUUUACUUCUAUCUUCUCUCCUCCCUCAUAAACACCACAUCUUACACUACUUCUGUUCCCUCAUUGUCCAUCAUGAGAAAUGGUAGAACCUUUUAGCAUACUUACUAUAUUAUUGUAGACAAUAACUGAAUACAUCAUUUCUGGUUAUUGUAACAAAGCUGUAGAUGCCUUAAUGGGAUCUAUUUGGUUUAAAGGUAUAUAUUGUUUGCAUUUGGUGCUGUUAAUAUGGGUCUCUCCAUUAAAGAUAAGGUACUGGAAGCCUUCAGGGACACUAUAAGACUAUAGGGCAGAAACUGUAUUUCCUCAGAUCCAUACUGCUAGAUGGGAAGACACACAAACAACACACACACACAAAAAAAAAAAAAAAAACAGGAACAAAGCUCCUCAAACAAACCAAGAUGUCUCAACAAUAGAAUUCAUACACAACACAGUAGAAGAAAUGACAGAAAAGGAGUUUAGAAGAUACAUAAUUAGGCUGAUCUUUGAAAUAAGAAUGGUAUCAGAGAGAAAAUACAGGGAGCAAAAGAUAACUUCAAUAAAGAGGCAGAGAUUGUAAAAAGGAAUCAAGCAGAAAUCUUUGAAGUGAAGGAAACAAAAACCAAAUUAAAAAUUCAGUGGAAAGUAUCACCAACAGACUAGACCACUUAGAAGACAGAACCUCAGGCAAUGAAGACAAGAUAUAUACUCUUGAAAAUAAAGUCAACCAUACAGAGAAGAUGGUAAGAAACUAUGAACAGAACUUCCAAGAAAUAUGGGGUAACAUGAAAAGACCAAAUCUAAGAUUUAUCAGAACAGAUGAAGGCAUGGAGAUACAAACCAAAGGAAUGCACAGUCUUUUCAAAGACAUAAUACCAGAAAAUUUCCCAAAUCUAAAGAAUGAAAUGGAAAAUUAACUACAAGAGAUUUAGAGGACCCCAAAUGUAUAAACUUACAGCAGACUCACACCAAGGAACAGUAUACUGAGAAUAACAUACAGAAUAAGGAUAGAAUUUUAAAGGCUGUGAGAAAAAAAAUAAAUUACAUAUAGGGGGAAACCAAUUCGGAUUUCAGCUGAUUUCAUAAUUCAGACCCUCAAUGCCCGGAAGUCCUGGAAUAUUAUAUAUCAAGCUCUAAAAGAAUAUGGAUGCCAACUGAGAAUUUUAUAUCCAGCUAAAUUAAGCUUCAGAUUUGAAGAUGAAAUAGAAACCUUCCAUGAUAAACAAAAGUUAAAAGAAUUCACCACUAGAAAGCCUGCACUACAAAACAUUCUCGGCAAAAUAUUCCACAAGGAGGAAAUUAAAAAAAAAAUGAAAACCAACAAAGGGAGGAGCUAUACUAAAGAAAAGGUCAAUCUAAAGAGAAACUAAGUCAAGUCAAAAAAAGCAAAAAUAAGCCAAAAUGACCAGGAAUACAAAUCAUAUAUCAAUAAUAACCCUGAAUGUUAAUGGCCUUAAUUCAUCCAUCAAAAGAUAUAGAUUGGCANUCAACAAUAGAAUUCAUACACAACACAGUAGAAGAAAUGACAGAAAAGGAGUUUAGAAGAUACAUAAUUAGGCUGAUCUUUGAAAUAAGAAUGGUAUCAGAGAGAAAAUACAGGGAGCAAAAGAUAACUUCAAUAAAGAGGCAGAGAUUGUAAAAAGGAAUCAAGCAGAAAUCUUUGAAGUGAAGGAAACAAAAACCAAAUUAAAAAUUCAGUGGAAAGUAUCACCAACAGACUAGACCACUUAGAAGACAGAACCUCAGGCAAUGAAGACAAGAUAUAUACUCUUGAAAAUAAAGUCAACCAUACAGAGAAGAUGGUAAGAAACUAUGAACAGAACUUCCAAGAAAUAUGGGGUAACAUGAAAAGACCAAAUCUAAGAUUUAUCAGAACAGAUGAAGGCAUGGAGAUACAAACCAAAGGAAUGCACAGUCUUUUCAAAGACAUAAUACCAGAAAAUUUCCCAAAUCUAAAGAAUGAAAUGGAAAAUUAACUACAAGAGAUUUAGAGGACCCCAAAUGUAUAAACUUACAGCAGACUCACACCAAGGAACAGUAUACUGAGAAUAACAUACAGAAUAAGGAUAGAAUUUUAAAGGCUGUGAGAAAAAAAAUAAAUUACAUAUAGGGGGAAACCAAUUCGGAUUUCAGCUGAUUUCAUAAUUCAGACCCUCAAUGCCCGGAAGUCCUGGAAUAUUAUAUAUCAAGCUCUAAAAGAAUAUGGAUGCCAACUGAGAAUUUUAUAUCCAGCUAAAUUAAGCUUCAGAUUUGAAGAUGAAAUAGAAACCUUCCAUGAUAAACAAAAGUUAAAAGAAUUCACCACUAGAAAGCCUGCACUACAAAACAUUCUCGGCAAAAUAUUCCACAAGGAGGAAAUUAAAAAAAAAAAAAAUGAAAACCAACAAAGGGAGGAGCUAUACUAAAGAAAAGGUCAAUCUAAAGAGAAACUAAGUCAAGUCAAAAAAAGCAAAAAUAAGCCAAAAUGACCAGGAAUACAAAUCAUAUAUCAAUAAUAACCCUGAAUGUUAAUGGCCUUAAUUCAUCCAUCAAAAGAUAUAGAUUGGCAGAUUGGAUUUUUAAAAAAAAGACCCAACAAUAUGGUGUCUUCAAGAGACUAACUUCUUAGGAAAAGACACCCAUAUACUUGAAGGACACAGGAAAAACGUCAUUCACAUGGACUGUGUAAAUAAGCCAGGGUUUCCAUCCUCAUAUCAGACAAAGUGUACAUCAAACCAAAGUUAGUCAGAAGGGAUAAAGAAGGACAUUUCAUACUGCUUAAGGGAAUCAUACAUCAACAGGACAUACCAGUUAUAAAUAUUUAUGCCCCAAACAAUGGAGCAUCUAUGUACAUCAAACAAACCUGUCUCAAUUUCAGGAAUCUAAUAGACCACAACACAAUAAUACUGGGUUACUGUAGCACACCCCUUUCACUACUGGAUAGGUCUUCCAAACAAAAACUAAACAAAGAGACUAUAGAACUAAAUAAUAUAAUCAAUGAUUUAGACUUGAUGGACAUAUAUAGAGUAUUUCAUCCAUCAUCAAGUGAAUAAACCUUCUUCUCAGCAGCAGAUGGAUCCUUCUCUAAAACGGACCAUAUGUUAUGUUACAAAGCAACUCUCAGCAAAUACAAAAAAAAAAAAAAAUAGAGACACUACCCUGCAUUCUAUCAGAUCAUAACGGAAUGAAAUUAAAAAUCAAUGAUAAAAAUAGAAGCUACUCCAGCACCUGGAGACUAAAUUAUGCUAUUGAAUGAACAAUGAAUAACAGAAGACAUCAGGGAAGAGAUUAAAAAAUUCUUAGAGGUAAAUGAGAACACCAAUGGGACACUAUGAAGGCAGUGCCAAGAGGAAAGUUCAUUUCAUUGAGUUCAUUCAUUGAAAGAAUAAAAAGUCAACAAAUAAAUGACUAAUAUUACAUCUCAAAGCCCUAGAAAAAGAAGAAAAAGUCAACACCAAAAGUAGUAGAAGACAGGAAAGAAUUAAAAUCAGAGUUGAAAUCAAUGAAAUGGAAACAAAAGAAACAAUUGAAAAAAUUGACAAAACUUAAAGUUGGUUCUUUGAAAAAACAAGUAAAAUUGAUAAAUGCUUAGCCCUACCAACAAAAAGUAGUAGAGAGAAAACUCAAAUUACUAAAAUUCAUGAUGAAAAAGGAAAUAUCAAGACAGACACUAUUGAAAUAUAGAAGAUAAUUAGAAAAUAUUUUGAAAAUUUAUACUCAAAAAAAAAAAAAAAGAAAAUCUCAAAGACUCAACAACUUUCUAGAGACAUAUGACCUACCCAAACUAAAUCAGAAGGACAUACACAAUUUAAACAGAUCAGUUUCAAGCAAUGAAACAGAAGAUGCCAUCAAAAGCCUACCAAAUAAGAAAAGCCCAGGACCAGAUGGAUUUUCAGUCCAGUUCUACAAGACUUUCAAGGAAAACUAAUACCAAAACUCCUCAAAUUAUUCCAUGAAAUACAAAAGGAGGGAAUCCUUCCAAACUCAUUUUAUGAGGCUAGUAUCACUAUGAUCCCAAAACCAGACAAAGAUAUCUCAAGGAAAGGAAACUUCAGACCAAUAUCCCUGAUGAACAGAGUUGCAAAAAUUCUCAAUAAAAUUUUGGCAGAUCAUAUUAAAAAACUUAUUAAAAAGAUAGUGCACCAUGAUUAAGUGGAGUUUAUCCCAGGGAUGCAAAGUGGGUUCAACAUAUGGAAAUCAAUAAAUGUAAUACAUCACAUCAACAGACUUAGUGACAAGAAUCAUGAUUAUUUCAAUAGAUGCAAAGAAAGCAUUUGACAAAAUAUAGCACCUCUUCAUGUUCAAAACACUAGAAAAACUGGGGAUAGUAGGAAUAUACUUCAACAUUGUAAAAGCUAUCUAUGCUAAGCCCAAGGCCAACAUCAUUCUAACUAGAGAAAAAUUUAAAGCAUUCCGUCUGAAAGCUGAACAAGAUAGGGAUUCCCCCUUUCACCACUUCUAUUCAACAUAGUCCUUGAAACUCUAGCCAGAACAAUAAGACUGAUGAAAGAAAUUAAAGGGAAAUAAAUAGGAAAAGAAGAACUCAAACUAUCUCUAUUUGCCAGUGACAUGAUUCUAUAUUUAGAGAAUCCAAAAAAUUCCUCCAGAAAACUUCUAGAACUAAUAAAUGAAUUCAGCAAAGUAGGAGAAUAUAAAUCAAUACCCAUAAAUAAAAUUCAUUUCUAUGCAUAAGGGAUAAAUCCAUUGAAAGAGAAAUUAAGAAAACUACCCCAUUCACAAUAGCCUCAAAAAAUACUUGGGAAUCAAUUUAACAAAAGAAGUGAAAGACCUCUACAAUGAAAACUACAGAAGAUUAAAGAAAGAAAUUGAAGAAGACCUUAGAAAAUGGAAAGAUCUCCCAUGCUCUUGGAUAGGUAGAAUUAAUGGUCACACUAAUGGCAAAAUGGCCAUGCUACCAAAACUGUUAUACAGAUUUCAUGCAAUUCCAAUUAAAAUCCCAACAACAUUCUUCAUAGAAAUAGAAAAAGUAAUUAUAAAAUACAUUUAGAAAAAUAAGAGACCCAGAAUAGCCAAAGCAAUCUUUAGCAAGAAAAGUGAAGCAGGGGGCGUCACAAUAUCCUAAACUAUACUACAGAAUAAUGGUAACAAAAACAGCAUGGUAUUGGCACCAAAAUAGACAUAUAGACCAAUGGCACAAAAUAGAAGACACAGAGAGACAAACCCACAAAAUAUAGUCAUCUUACAUUAGACAAAGGUGCCAAGAAUACACAUUGGAGAAAAAAGAUAGCCUAUUCAACAAAUGGUUGGAUAUUGGUUCUUUGAUUUGGGUUUGUUAUUUUGUCCUAUUUGUGUUUUUAAUUUGGAUUUGUUGUUUUGGUCUGUUUUUUUUUUUUUUUUUUUUUUUUUUUUUUUUUUUUUUUUUUUUUUUUUUUUUUUUUUUUUUUUUUUUAGCUAGCAUCCUUAGGUGGUGUUCCUGCUUAGGAUAUAUAGCCAGAGUAGUGAGACUAGUGUAAUGUUUCAAGGGCCCAGCUCCUGCAAGAAGGCAGUCUUGAGGGUCCAGUAUGAGGUCCUGAGAGAUAUUGGCCAUGGUGGGUUUGGCCAGAUAAAACUAGCCCAUCAUUGGCCCAUGGGGGCAGAGAUGGCAGUGAAAGUCUUGCCAAAGACAGUGCAGAACCUCCCAAUCCUCUCUGAAACAGAUAUGAUGAGGAGCCUGGAGCAUCCCAAUGUGAUUCAGUUAUUUCAGGUUGUUGACACCCACAGAAAUAUCUAUAUGGUGAUGGAGCAUGCGGGUGGGGGACAGUUACUGGACCAUGUCCCACAGCAUGACAUGCAGGAGAAAGAGGCCCGCAGACUUUUCCAGCAGAUAGUAUGUGCCAUGGGCUACUGCCAUGACAAGGGCAUCAUGCACCAAGACCUGAAGCCAGAGAACAUCAUGCUGGAUGCCAGAGGCCACAUCAAACUUAUUCACUUUGGCUUCAGCACCACAGUCAUGCCUGGGCAGAAACUGCACAAGUUCUGGGGCACUCUCCCUCACUUUGCCCCUGAAAUUAUCCUGAGGCAAGCAUAUGAAGGGCACUCAGUGGACAUCUGGAGCCUGGUUUCAUUCUGUAUUUUAUGUUGACAGGGAGGUGCCCAUUUAUGGGACCUACCACUAAGGAGGUGCUGAGGCAGAUCGUGCUUGGAACCUACCACAUCCCUCCCUGUGUUUCUGUAGUAGCACAAAUACUCACCUGCCAAAUACUGACCCUGGACCCCAGGAAGCGGCCCACAGCCAAGCAGAUCCUUCAGCACCCAUGGCUGACACAGAGUGAGCAGUAUUUACCUCAUGAUUAUGGUAAGGCCCUCCCCAAAACCCAGACCCCAAAAAACUGACAGUAAUGUUUGAUAUGGAUUAUGAUCUACACAAUACCUGUGUGUCUGGCCAAGAGAAAGUUCAAUGAAGCCAUGGCUAUCUACCUUAUACUAGAGCACCAGAAAAGCCAGGGGGCAGGCUGCAUGUUCCAGGGGAAGCCUGUGCCUCCGAAGGUUAAGCCUCGCCCAUGCCCCUUGGAUCUUUCCAAUUCCCCUGUCCUCCCAAAGAGGUGUCCCAGAGAGCUUGCCCUUCCUUCCCCUUGCCCUGUGAGCCUCUUCUGCCUGAGUAGGCCCAGCAGUCAGGGCAGAAGUGCAUCUGAAGGGCUAGACAGCCUGCCAUCCAUUUCCACGACCCUCCUGCAAGGACCCACAUACUGAUUUAGCCUCCUAGUUGGACUUUGGGCAACCCCAUACCAUUGGAAAGUUCUGGAAGCAGGUGACUGGGAGGAUUGCUACCUGUCUCUGUCAACUGUGCCUUUGCAUGCCAUAUGUCAAAAGUAAAGUGGUUCCAAUGUAAGAGGGCAGAAACCUGCCAGGUUCAUAAUGUGGCUCCAAUGAAGGGGAAAGGUGACCAGACUAAACCAGAGCACAUCCAGAAAACCUGUGCUCUGUGGAUUCUGACACCUGUGUGGGCAUCAGUCAUGUGGACUCUGAACAGCUGCAGGAGCAACAUGUGCCAACUACCUCAGGUUCCUCUGCCCAGGUUUUAGCCAAGAGCACUUCUGCAUCCACUUGGACAUCAGGAGUCUCCUCUGCCCCCACCUGCUGAAGAUAUCAGAGACUGUUCUCCUUGAGACACUUCCUGCUGCCCUGCCCCUCUGUCCUUUCUCCCAUUCUUCUGAGUUGUUUCUUAAUAAAUUUAUUUCAACAAAAAAAGGUGCC
This 11669-nucleotide long non-coding RNA is filed under the name Marmota monax (woodchuck). Lineage: Eukaryota; Metazoa; Chordata; Mammalia; Rodentia; Sciuridae. The record is from RNAcentral.